RNAcentral lists this ribosomal RNA (482 nucleotides) under uncultured bacterium. RNAcentral's name for it is "bacterial SSU rRNA". It matches the Rfam family "Bacterial small subunit ribosomal RNA", at positions 30 to 506 of the family's 1533-position model. The record is from RNAcentral.
UUGAACGCUGGCGGAAUGCUUUACACAUGCAAGUCGAACGGCAGCACGGGGGCAACCCUGGUGGUGAGUGGCGAACGGGUGAGUAAUGUAUCGGAACGUACCCAGUCGUGGGGGAUAACUAUCCGAAAGGAUAGCUAAUACCGCAUACGUCCUGAGGGAGAAAGCGGGGGAUCGCAAGACCUCGCGCGAUUGGAGCGGCCGAUAUCGGAUUAGCUAGUUGGUGAGGUAAAGGCUCACCAAGGCGACGAUCCGUAGCGGGUCUGAGAGGACGACCAGCCACACUGGAACUGAGACACGGUCCAGACUCCUACGGGAGGCAGCAGUGGGGAAUUUUGGACAAUGGGGGAAACCCUGAUCCAGCCAUUCCGCGUGAGUGAAGAAGGCCUUCGGGUUGUAAAGCUCUUUCGGCAGGAACGAGACGGUCGGCUUUAAUAAAGUCGGCUAAUGACGGUACCUGCAGAAGAAGCACCGGCUAACUACGU